UACAUGCUCCCUUAGAUCCACCUUUGUGGUUGCUUCACCUGUUCUGAGUUCUGUUGGUUGACUUCCAGUAGUUCCAGUUCAGUGACAACCAGCAACUUUUUGGUUGUACAGUCAAAGGUGCUUGAGUCAUUGGCAUGUAAGAGGAAUAUACCUUCACAUUGGCCUAUUAUGUUCUAAUGGCAACGGCUGCAGUAUUACUGUGCCCGUGUAUCACCAGUAGAAUGCGGCUAACGUGUGGACAGU
This is a small nucleolar RNA of Hyla sarda, 243 nucleotides long. RefSeq annotates it as small nucleolar RNA SNORA53. The record is from RefSeq and is a predicted model, not a curated record. The transcript has a single exon. Lineage: Eukaryota; Metazoa; Chordata; Amphibia; Anura; Hylidae.